Molecule: transfer RNA, 73 nt
Filed under: Paramuricea clavata
Lineage: Eukaryota; Metazoa; Cnidaria; Anthozoa; Malacalcyonacea; Plexauridae
Rfam family: tRNA
About the family: Transfer RNA (tRNA) molecules are approximately 80 nucleotides in length.
Source: Rfam by way of RNAcentral
GCCUCUGUAGCUCAGUUGGUUAGAGCGCUGCACCGGAAUCGCAGGGCCGUAGGUUCCAUUCCUACCAGAGGAC